RNAcentral lists this long non-coding RNA (396 nucleotides) under Actinidia chinensis (golden kiwifruit). Its description in RNAcentral is "long non-coding RNA (ACHI_LNC001004)". The record is from RNAcentral. Lineage: Eukaryota; Viridiplantae; Streptophyta; Magnoliopsida; Ericales; Actinidiaceae.
CGAAUUGACGGAUUACCAGAAGAAUUACCAAAAUUUUACAAAUCCAAAAAAUUAUAAUAUGAAGGUAGUUGUUUCAAAAAUAAAAAAGUAAAUUAAAAAUCACCGGAUCUAAUCUUCUCCCCUUGUCUAAUCUUUAGUGUGAUGAGAUCUUGAAUUUCUUUGGGGCAUGAUGAGUGAGAGAGAUGAGAGGUCAAAAGAACCUGAAACCACCAUUUCUGAAACGACAUAGCACCAAACUCCAUUGAAGGACCAAAGUCUUCAGAGAGAGAGAGAGUUCGCUAUCGAACAAUCCAGUAGAGAGAGAAUGGUUAGAAAUCGGAUGGAUUUGGAGAGAGAGAAAUGGAAUCUUCGAGUCUCGAGGGUUCUGGGAAGUGAUGGAUUUUGAUCCUCUCCAUC